GGCGGCCACGCUCCGGCCGGGUCCCCGCGGCUCCCGGCGGCGGCGGCGGCGCCAUGGACGAGGCCGUGGGCGACCUGAAGCAGGCGCUACCGUGCGUGGCCGAGGCGCCGACCGUGCACGUGGAGGUGCACCAGCGCGGCGGCAGCACCGCGAAGAAGGAAGACAUAAAGCAGAGCGUCCGGAAGCUGCUCAACAGACAUAACAUCGUGUUUGGAGACUACACGUGGACCGAGUUCGACGAGCCUUUUCUGACCAGGAACGUGCAGUCCGUGGCCAUCGUUGACACGGAGUUGAAGGCGAAAGACCCACAGCCCAUCGAUCUGGGCGCCUGCGCAGUCGCGCUGCACGUCUUCCAGCUGAACGAGGGCGGCCCCAGCAGUGAGACUCUGGAGGAGGAGACGGAGAACAUCACUGCGGCAAGCCACUGGGUCCUGCCUGCAGCUGAAUUCCACGGGCUUUGGGACAGCCUGGUAUAUGACGUGGAAGUCAAAUCUCAUCUCCUGGAUUACGUGACGACGACUCUGCUGUUCUCAGACAAGAACGUCGACAGCAACCUCAUCGCCUGGAACCGGGUGGUGCUGCUGCACGGUCCUCCGGGAACUGGGAAGACCUCCCUGUGUAAAGCCUUAGCCCAGAAGCUGACCAUUAGGCUCUCGAGCAGGUACCGGUACGGCCAGCUGAUUGAAAUAAACAGCCACAGUCUCUUUUCCAAGUGGUUCUCGGAAAGCGGCAAGCUGGUAACGAAGAUGUUCCAGAAGAUUCAGGACUUGAUCGACGACAAGGACGCCCUGGUGUUUGUGCUGAUUGACGAGGUGGAGAGCCUCACGGCUGCCCGCAACGCCUGUAGGGCCGGCACCGAGCCUUCGGACGCCAUACGCGUGGUCAAUGCCGUCCUGACCCAGAUCGAUCAGAUCAAGAGGCACUGCAAUGUGGUGAUUCUGACCACGUCCAACAUCACGGAGCGGAUCGACGUGGCCUUCGUGGACAGGGCUGACAUCAGGCAGUACAUCGGGCCGCCCUCUGCGGCAGCCAUCUUCAAAAUCUACCUGUCCUGCUUGGAGGAACUGAUGAAGUGCCAGAUCAUCUACCCUCGCCAGCAGCUGCUGACCCUCCGGGAGCUUGGAGAUGAUCGGCUUCAUCGAAACAACGUGUCGAAGUUUGAGCCUCCCUUUUGAGUGAAAUUCAAGGAAGAGUGAGGGUCUCAGCGGCCGCGUCCUAAGAAACUCCCUUUCCUGGCUCACGCGCUGUCGUCCAGGCCCCCACCGUCACCAUCGAGGGCUUCCUGCAGGCCCUGUCCCUGGCGGUGGACAAGCAGUUUGAAGAGAGGAAGAAGCUCUCGUCUGCAUUUGAGCUGAGGCCUCCGCCCGCGGCUUUCUGAGCACGACCAGCGGGCGACGCAUCCACUCAGAGCAGCGGCACCGGCCCCGGUCUAAGGGCCAGAAGCCCGUGAGGCUAAGUGGUGUUCCACAAAGUGCGCUGUGUCUACGUGUCACUUCCACGGUUGGGAAGGAUGGUAGUUGGCGUUCUGUCCCGGUAAAGACUGUCCCGACGUGCUCAUUCCGUCCUGUGUCUGGUCUGUUGGGCAGAAAAUGCUGACAAACGUUUGAAAAGGGCAAUGACCGUAGGUAAUUAAGAAACAAAAGGGGAACCUAGCGCCUUAAAUAACAACGUAGCCCUGGCAUCAAGACGUCGGCCUCGCUGAAGACAGAGGCAGCUUCCCCACCUGACCGUGUUUGCGGGGCGCUGCACACGCUUCAGAGGCCGAUGACUAAGAAAUCCUGUCCCUAUGUGCUAGAAACGGAGAAAGAAAUUCCAGGUAGAACACUUUUCCCAAUAAUCAGUCGCGGUGCUAUUUGUGAGAAAGGUGCAGCCUCACCGUCCGGGUGACCGCGGGCCACCGCCCUGGCAUCCGCCACAGGCCCCAGCACGUGGCACUCAUACCUGUCGUUUUGUCCCUUCAGCGAGGUUCCUGCGGUGCAAGUGUGUGGUCACGGUGGCCAUGGACACUGGCUGAUGGCUGGGUCUCGUGGGUUGUAUUUGGGGCUGCCUGUUGCUAAGCUUUGACGUUCGUGGUUUAUAUACGUUUUUCAGGAACAUGUUCUCUUCUGUUACAGAACUUCUUAAGUAUUAAAACUUCUCCCCGAGAA
Molecule: RNA transcript, 2147 nt
Organism: Lutra lutra (Eurasian river otter)
Lineage: Eukaryota; Metazoa; Chordata; Mammalia; Carnivora; Mustelidae
Gene: TRIP13
Gene name: thyroid hormone receptor interactor 13
Exons: 13
Source: RefSeq, a predicted model, not a curated record